UUUAUUUAUACUUUCAUUAAAUAUAACAUAAGAUUUUGUGGUAUCCACUAAUGUAAAUAUUUUAAAUUGAAGAUCAAAUUCAGUCAUUGUAUUCAUAUAGGGUCAAGGAGUGUAGCUGUAAAAAAUCAUCAAAAUCGGAGUUAAUUUAACCGUUAAAUCGUGAUUUUUCAUUUAUAACCGUCGAAUAGUUAUGUCCCGUUACUUGAUCU
Molecule: long non-coding RNA, 209 nt
Filed under: Prunus persica (peach)
Lineage: Eukaryota; Viridiplantae; Streptophyta; Magnoliopsida; Rosales; Rosaceae
Description: long non-coding RNA (PPER_LNC000935)
Source: RNAcentral